GAGUUUGAUCCUGGCUCAGAACGAACGCUGGCGGCAGGCUUAACACAUGCAAGUCGAGCGCCCCGCAAGGGGAGCGGCAGACGGGUGAGUAACACGUGGGGAUCUGCCCGAUGGUACGGAAUAGCUCCGGGAAACUGGAAUUAAUACCGUAUGGAGCCCGCAAGGGGAAAGAUUUAUCGCCAUCGGAUGAACCCGCGUCGGAUUAGCUAGUUGGUGUGGUAAAGGCGCACCAAGGCGACGAUCCGUAGCUGGUCUGAGAGGAUGACCAGCCACACUGGGACUGAGACACGGCCCAGACUCCUACGGGAGGCAGCAGUGGGGAAUAUUGGACAAUGGGCGCAAGCCUGAUCCAGCCAUGCCGCGUGAGUGAUGAAGGCCUUAGGGUUGUAAAGCUCUUUCGCCGACGAAGAUAAUGACGGUAGUCGGAGAAGAAGCCCCGGCUAACUUCGUGCCAGCCGCCGCAGUAAU
Molecule: ribosomal RNA, 468 nt
Filed under: uncultured Alphaproteobacteria bacterium
Lineage: Bacteria; Pseudomonadati; Pseudomonadota; Alphaproteobacteria
Description: bacterial SSU rRNA
Rfam family: Bacterial small subunit ribosomal RNA
Source: RNAcentral